GACCAUCAGGUGCGGCAUUUGCUACUAUCGAUCGGCAGCCACACGUACGUAUAGCCACCGCGUCAAUUGCGUAAUUCGAUAGGCGGACCCCUCAUGCCAGCGUUCUAAUUUUGAGUUUCCUUAACUGCCCCCGGGCGUGUUCGCCACCUCGUACACCAAAUUAAGCUUCGUUGCGCGUCUUGGAAUGGUCGGGAACUGUAAACCACGAUGGACCUCUCUAGGUCCCAAGGAAGCCCUGCGGUCCUGUCCACGACGUACCGACAGCAGUCGAGCACAGCACUCUACAACCCAAUUCAGGGCGUUGCUCGCGUUGGGAGCGGGGAUCAACGGUCGUAAACCAACCCGUGAGAUCCCCCUGACGGCCACUAUUCGGCUCUCCUUCCACCCCUACUGCAGUUCAGGAGUACCGGGAAUGCCCGACCCGAUGUGUGCACGAUGUUACCACCACUGUCACCCGUCGCUCGUGCGCUCACACUCGAUUAGAGGUUUUCGGUAGAGUCAAGCCUAACGUGAGACGUUGAGCCCACGUACUUCAACCUUAGCGAUCAUUAG
Molecule: ribosomal RNA, 552 nt
Filed under: Martelella mediterranea
Lineage: Bacteria; Pseudomonadati; Pseudomonadota; Alphaproteobacteria; Hyphomicrobiales; Aurantimonadaceae
Description: partial 16S ribosomal RNA
Source: RNAcentral